Long non-coding RNA from Monopterus albus (swamp eel), 304 nucleotides. RefSeq lists it as uncharacterized. The transcript has 3 exons. NCBI's taxonomy places the organism in Eukaryota, Metazoa, Chordata, Actinopteri, Synbranchiformes, Synbranchidae. The record is from RefSeq and is a predicted model, not a curated record.
AUUGCUCUGACCAGUGUGGACCGGGACUUGAAACACUUUGACGGACAUUAUGACACACGCAAGUGCGGGAACUUUGGGAUGUUAGUUGGGUCCUAGCACACUCAGAAACAGCUCUGUUCCCACCAGCUCCUGAGAAAAAUGGUUUUUUAACUCCUGAAUGCUCCCCUGGGUUCAACAUCUAAGGCAGCAGUGUCUUCCGAACAAUGCUGGAUGCAGCAGUUACCUUAUCUGUUAAGAAAUGGUGCCACCGAUGUUCACUUGACAGCCUGGACAAGGCGUGAUGGGGCCUGUUGUUAUGUCACCU